GACGAACGCUGGCGGCGUGCUUAACACAUGCAAGUCGCACGGGACUGGGGGCAACUACCAGUUCAGUGGCGGACGGGUGCGUAACACGUAAGCAACAUGUCCAAGGGUGGGGGAUAGCCGGCCCAACGGCCGGGUAAUACCGGCAUGCAGUCACCGGCGGCAUCACUGGUGACGAAAGCCGGGGCAACCUGGCGCCCAUGGAGUGGCUUGCGGCCUAUCAGCUAGUUGGUGGGGAACGGCCACCAAGGCAACGACGGGUAGCUGGUCUGAGAGGAUGACCAG
This 282-nucleotide ribosomal RNA is filed under the name uncultured bacterium. RNAcentral's name for it is "partial 16S ribosomal RNA". It matches the Rfam family "Bacterial small subunit ribosomal RNA", at positions 28 to 307 of the family's 1533-position model. The record is from RNAcentral.